RNAcentral lists this ribosomal RNA (373 nucleotides) under uncultured organism. RNAcentral describes it as "partial 16S ribosomal RNA". It matches the Rfam family "Bacterial small subunit ribosomal RNA", at positions 527 to 896 of the family's 1533-position model. The record is from RNAcentral.
GAAGGUGGCAAGCGUUGUUCGGAAUCACUGGGCUUAAAGCGCGCGUAGGCGGAAUAGCAAGUGUCUUGUGAAAUCCCUCGGCUUAACCGAGGAAUUGCUUGGCAAACUGCUAUUCUUGAGGCAAGUAGGGGUACAUGGAACUCUUGGUGGAGCGGUGGAAUGCGUAGAUAUCAAGAGGAACGCCAAUGGUGAAGACAGUGUACUGGGCUUGUACUGACGCUGAGGUGCGAAAGCGUGGGGGGAGCGAACGGGAUUAGAUACCCCGGUAGUCCACGCCGUAAACGAUGUCUACUAGGUUGUGGGUGUUCUGACACAGUCACAGUCGCAGCAAAAGUAUUAAGUAGACCGCCUGGGGAGUACGGUCGCAAGGCUA